RNAcentral lists this ribosomal RNA (253 nucleotides) under uncultured bacterium. Its description in RNAcentral is "partial 16S ribosomal RNA". It matches the Rfam family "Bacterial small subunit ribosomal RNA", at positions 524 to 776 of the family's 1533-position model. The record is from RNAcentral.
UACAGAGGUCCCAAGCGUUGUUCGGAUUCAUUGGGCGUAAAGGGUGCGUAGCGGUGCCGUAAGUCGGAUGUGAAAUCUCGGGGCUCAACCCUGAAACUGCAUUCGAUACUGCGGUGCUAGAGGACUCUAGAGGAAACUGGAAUUCACGGUGUAGCAGUGAAAUGCGUAGAUAUCGUGAGGAAGACCAGUGGCGAAGGCGGGUUUCUGGAGAGUUCCGUGACGCUGAGGCACGAAGGCCAGGGGAGCAAACGGG